Molecule: RNA transcript, 689 nt
Organism: Musca vetustissima
Lineage: Eukaryota; Metazoa; Arthropoda; Insecta; Diptera; Muscidae
Gene name: pre-mRNA-splicing factor 38B-like
Exons: 6
Source: RefSeq, a predicted model, not a curated record
AUGGAAGAAGACUAUGCAUCUUCUUCGGCCGGUGGUGGUGGCGGCAAACAAUCCGCAGCCAAAAAAGUCGGUAAAAUGCACAAUACCUUACCCUUGUGGGGUAAUGAAUCGACCAUGAAUUUAAAUCCCCUUAUCUUGGCCAAUAUACAAAGUUCUAGUUACUUUAAAGUACAUUUGUUCAAAUUGAAAACCUAUCACGAGGUGGUGGAUGAGAUAUAUUAUCAAGUUAAACAUAUGGAACCAUGGGAGCGUGGUUCACGUAAAACCAGCGGCCAAACUGGCAUGUGUGGCGGAGUUAGAGGAGUAGGUGCUGGAGGCAUUGUAUCCACAGCCUAUUGUUUGUUAUAUAAAUUAUAUACGUUGCGUUUGACCCGUAAACAGGUUAAUGGCUUGAUCACACACACAGAUUCCCCCUAUAUCAGGGCAUUAGGUAGGUGGUUUUAUGUAUUUGCGUUACACCCAACCGCCGGGUGAUUUAUAUGAUUGGUAUGAAGACUAUCUGCAAGAUGAGGAAGAAAUUGAUGUUAAAGCCGGUGGCGGCCAGGUGAGUCGACAGUGAUUACAAUCGGCCAAAUGGUCUAUCAAUUUCUAACCAAAUUGGAUUGGUUUUCAACACUGUUUCCUCGUAUACCUGUGCCGAUACAAAAACAAAUUGAAAAGAAACUUGAACAAUAUUGUCGUGAAAAUGG